This is a non-coding RNA of Cricetulus griseus (Chinese hamster), 1813 nucleotides long. Lineage: Eukaryota; Metazoa; Chordata; Mammalia; Rodentia; Cricetidae. The record is from RefSeq and is a predicted model, not a curated record.
GACCCAAUGGAUGGUCUGUUAUCAUUCAGGGAUGUGUCUGUGGACCUCUCACAGGAAGAAUGGGAAUGUCUAGACUGUGCUCAGAGGGCUUUGUACAUGGAUGUGAUGCUGGAGAAUUACAGCAAUCUACUUUUUGUUGAAUUUUGAAGCAUUUACCUGGAGGUACUCUAAAUUUAAGGUAAAUCUCUCCAUUUCUUAAAAUAAUGCCAGCAGGACUUUGAUAAGUUUUGUUUAGUAACUAUGUAGAGUAUUAAUUUCCAUCUACAUUGUCUUCCCAUUGAUAUCUCAAGUCUUCUGUCUUUAUGACAUCUGUCAUUGUUAAUAUAUUUUGAGAUCACCUUUGUGUUUGAUCCUUAUAAUUUUUGAGCUCCUCGUUACUGCACAAUUUUCUGAAUUUUAAGAAUUUUCUCUAAUUAUAUUAAAUACAUGUAUCCUUUUGUUAUUUAGAUCUUACAAUCUUAUGUUUCUUCACGUUUGAGCGAGAGCAUGCCAUCAGUGAGUCAAUGUUUACAUGUCUUGCAUGUAUUCUUCUGUUUUCUGUCUACUGUUGUCAGCAUUGCAGGUUCUUGAAGAAGACACUGUGUUUUUGCUUCUUUUUGGUUUUUCAAGACAGGGUGUCUCUGUGUUGCCUUCGAGCAAAUACUUUGAGUUUCUUUUGUGGUUUUUCUCUGUACUUGACAAUGAAUUCACAUAUACUCUUGGGGAUUUCACUUUUUUUUUUUUGGUAGUGUUUUCUUGUGGUUUUUGUUUUUUGUUUUUUUGUUUUUGUUUUUUAAAAUGGGGUUUCUCUAUAUACCAGGCUAGCCUUGAACUGACAGAAACCUAUGUUUGCCUCCUGUGUACUGUGAUGAAAGGCACUACUGCCUCGUGAAAAGACACCUUUUAAACAUUGAUAUUUACUAGAUUUGAAGACUUUUUUGUUUGUUUGUUUGGUUUCUUUGGUUUUUUAUUGAUUGUUCUUUGAACUGCUUUGUCUAAAUAGCCCUGGUUGUUCUGAAACUCUUUGUAUAACAAGCCUGCCUUGAACUCAGAGAUCCACAUACCCUAGCCUCUGAGUGCUGGGAAUAAAGGCCUGCACCAUCAGGCCAGACUGACUUGUUCAGACAUGGCCACACUGGAUAAUGCUGCUUGAAUUUUGAGAAGACUUGGGUAUCUUCAGCGCUUGUGUGGAUGAGUCUCUGGAGACCUGCUAGGAGUUAUUGCUAUUCUGUGCUGUUCAUGGUCAUCUCUCUCACUAGGGUCCUGUCUGAUUAAUACAGCAUUACUGUAUUAAGGAUGCUGAAACUUCUCUGCGUCACUUUUAUUGAUGGCUUCAAGUAUUUUUAUAUAUUUUGUUGAAAAGCAUUUAUAUUGAACACAUAUCUUUCUGGCAGAUGGACAACCAUUUAUUUGAUCCAUUUAAUAAACUUUGUUUUCUAUGUUGAUAGAUGUGGCUUUUUCUCUUAACCAUAAUUAUGAUGACCCCUCUUUACAGCAGACCUUUAAAAACUAGAUUUCUUCCCUUUUCACAUUGUGUGUACUUACAACCGAAGUACAAUGGGAGGUCUCAUUACAUAGCUGUUUGCUCAUCAGAAACUCACUAGGCAGACACGGUGAGAAGUUGAUAAAUUAAACAUUUCUCUGCACGCUGACUGUUGAUAGUAAAGUGGUGGGAGCAGACCAUGCUCCAGUAGGUUUGGGGAUUUGGUUUGGUUUGCUUUGUUCUGAUUGGUUUGAUGUGUUUUCAUGCUUGGGCAGUUGUAUGUCAGUGCAGAAAGUGUGCCUGAUGAAAGGAAUUAUGUAAAUGAUUCCUCAGUUGUCAGAUGUUGAGGGC